This 50-nucleotide transfer RNA is filed under the name Schistosoma margrebowiei. It matches the Rfam family "tRNA", at positions 23 to 71 of the family's 71-position model. From Rfam's summary of the family: Transfer RNA (tRNA) molecules are approximately 80 nucleotides in length. Lineage: Eukaryota; Metazoa; Platyhelminthes; Trematoda; Strigeidida; Schistosomatidae. The record is from Rfam by way of RNAcentral.
GCGUCGUGCUAAUAACGCGAAUGUCGAGGGUUCGAUCCCCUCCGAAGCCA